This 983-nucleotide ribosomal RNA is filed under the name uncultured Bacteroidota bacterium. RNAcentral describes it as "bacterial SSU rRNA". It matches the Rfam family "Bacterial small subunit ribosomal RNA", at positions 509 to 1504 of the family's 1533-position model. The record is from RNAcentral. Lineage: Bacteria; Pseudomonadati; Bacteroidota.
CAGCCGCCGCGGUAAUACGGAGGGUGCAAGCGUUAUCCGGAUUUAUUGGGUUUAAAGGGUGCGCAGGCGGAAUGAUUAGUCAGUGGUGAAAUCCUACAGCUCAACUGUAGAACUGCCAUUGAUACUGUCAUUCUUGAGUACAGUUGAAGUAGGCGGAAUGUAUCAUGUAGCAGUGAAAUGCAUAGAUAUGAUACAGAACUCCUAUAGCGAAGGCAGCUUACUAAACUGUAACUGACGCUCAGGCACGAAAGCGUGGGGAGCAAACAGGAUUAGAUACCCUGGUAGUCCACGCCGUAAACGAUGAUCACUCGUUGUUGGCAACACAUCGUCAGCGACUGAACGAAAGUAUUAAGUGAUCCACCUGGGGAGUACGAUCGCAAGGUUGAAACUCAAAGGAGUUGACGGGGGCCCGCACAAGCGGAGGAGCAUGUGGUUUAAUUCGAUGAUACGCGAGGAACCUUACCUGGGCUUAAAUGUAAGACGACAUCCCGAGAAAUCGGAACUUCCUUCGGGACGUUUUGCAAGGUGCUGCAUGGUUGUCGUCAGCUCGUGCCGUGAGGUGUCGGGUUAAGUCCCAUAACGAGCGCAACCCCUAUUCUUAGUUGCCAUCAGAUAAUGCUGGGGACUCUAAGGAAACUGCCUACGCCAGUAGUGAGGAAGGUGGGGAUGACGUCAAAUCAGCACGGCCCUUAUGUCCAGGGCUACACACGUGCUACAAUGGUCGGUACAGAGGGUCGCUACCUGGUGACAGGAUACUAAUCUCAAAAACCGGUCUCAGUUCGGAUCCGAGUCUGCAACUCGACUCCGUGAAGUUGGAUUCGCUAGUAAUCGCAUAUCAGCAAUGGUGCGGUGAAUACGUUCCCGGGCCUUGUACACACCGCCCGUCAAGCCAUGGAAGCUGGGGGUACCUGAAGUCCGUGACCGCAAGGAGCGGCCUAGGGUAAAACUAGUGACUGGGGCUAAGUCGUAACAAGGUAACCGUA